Molecule: transfer RNA, 69 nt
Filed under: Meristogenys whiteheadi (Whitehead's Borneo frog)
Lineage: Eukaryota; Metazoa; Chordata; Amphibia; Anura; Ranidae
Also listed under: 1 other name
Description: tRNA-Val
Rfam family: tRNA
About the family: Transfer RNA (tRNA) molecules are approximately 80 nucleotides in length. Their secondary structure includes four short double-helical elements and three loops (D, anti-codon, and T loops).
Source: RNAcentral
CAAAAUGUAGCUUAACAAAAGCCCCUCGCUUACACCGAAGUGAUAUCUGUUAAACCCGGAUCAUUUUGA